This 495-nucleotide ribosomal RNA is filed under the name uncultured bacterium. RNAcentral's name for it is "partial 16S ribosomal RNA". It matches the Rfam family "Bacterial small subunit ribosomal RNA", at positions 30 to 507 of the family's 1533-position model. The record is from RNAcentral.
UGAACGCUGGCGGCGUGCCUAAUACAUGCAAGUCGAGCGAACGGACGAGAAGCUUGCUUCUCUGUUGUUAGCGGCGGACGGGUGAGUAACACGUGGAUAACCUACCUAUAAGACUGGGAUAACUUCGGGAAACCGGAGCUAAUACCGGAUGAUAUUUUGAACCGCAUGGUUCAAAAGUGAAAGACGGUCUUGCUGUCACUUAUAGAUGGAUCCGCGCUGCAUUAGCUAGUUGGUAAGGUAACGGCUUACCAAGGCAACGAUGCAUAGCCGACCUGAGAGGGUGAUCGGCCACACUGGAACUGAGACACGGUCCAGACUCCUACGGGAGGCGGCAGUAGGGAAUCUUCCGCAAUGGGCGAAAGCCUGACGGAGCAACGCCGCGUGAGUGAUGAAGGUCUUCGGAUCGUAAAACUCUGUUACUAGGGAAGAACAUAUGUGUAAGUAACUGUGCACAUCUUGACGGUACCUAAUCAGAAAGCCACGGCUAACUACGUG